AGAAGAGACGCAUUUAUUAGAUAAAAAGCCAAUGCAUGCUUUUACAGUAUGGAAAUUGGUGAUUUAUAAUAACUUGGCAAAUCGCAAAGUGAAAACAGGCGAUAAAUCAUUCAAGUUUCUGACCUAUCAGCUUUCGACGGUAUGGUAUUGGCUUACCGUGGCAGUGACGGUUAACGGGGGAUUAGGGUUCGAUUCCGGAGAGGGAGCCUGAGAAACGGCUACCACAUCUAAGGAAGGCAGCAGGCGCGCAAAUUACCCAAUUCUAACAGUUUGAGAGAGGUAGUAACAAGAAAUAACAAUACAAGGCAAUUAAAAUGCUUUGUAAUUGGAAUGAUAGAAAUUUAAACCCUUUUUAAAGUAUCAAUUGGAGGGCAAGUCUGGUGCCAGCAGCCGCGGUAAUUCCAGCUCCAAUAGCGUAUAUUAAAAUUGUUGCAGUUAAAAAGCUCGUAGUUGAAGUUCUGCUAAAAGUAACCGGUCUGCUUUUAAUAAAAGUGGUAUCUUGGUGUGUAUUUAGCAAUGAUGUCCUUUGAAGUGUUUUUUACUUUAUUGUAAUAAAGCAUAUUCAGGACUUUUACUUUGAGAAAAUUAGAGUG
This 593-nucleotide ribosomal RNA is filed under the name Hepatozoon canis. RNAcentral's name for it is "bacterial SSU rRNA". It matches the Rfam family "Eukaryotic small subunit ribosomal RNA", at positions 194 to 773 of the family's 1831-position model. The record is from RNAcentral. Lineage: Eukaryota; Apicomplexa; Hepatozoidae.